AUGGUUCACUUGUCCUCUGCCUGCUCCGUGGAGGAGAGGGCUGUCCUGAUGGACAUCCGGUCUUCACUGAGGAGAGCACACUCCAUGGUUUCGCCUGAUCUAUGGGGGCACGAUGAUGAUGAAUGCUGCUCGUGGAAGACUGUGACAUGCAACAAUAGCACCCGACGAGUGACUCAUCUCGACCUUUCCUCUGUAUAUGUAUCGGAGGCAGAUAAUCAUUGGAAUUUAAACUUGUCAGUGUUUUCUGCGUUCCAUGAGCUGCGGUACCUAGAUCUAUCACUCAAUUUUCCCUGUUCGCUAAGCUUUGAGGGUACGUUUGGAUUACAAACUCUCUCUGAGAACAAUACAUAUGUGUGGUCAUUUCUUAUUCUUGUAGCUGUAACAAAAACAACUGCAGGAUUGAUUGGACUACCCAGGCUUCGAUAUCUUGACCUCAGUCUCGCUUCGCUUGGAGGGGGUUCCCUGGAAUUUAUCGGGGCAUGUGUUUCACUGGAACUCUUAGCUCUCAACAACAACAACAUUACUGGAGGUUUUCAAGAUGCAGCUUUCAAUAAUCUUAGAAACUUGCGAGAACUGAGUAUGUCUAUGAGUGGCCUCAACGGAAACCUCCCGGCAUCGCUAUUUGCCCUUCCUCACCUGAAGAUCUUAGAUCUCUCACAAAAUUUAUUUGAUGGGCAUAUUCCAAUUAGUUCGUCGCCAGGACCAAUCUCACUUGAAGUCUUAGAUCUCAGCUAUAAUGACCUCAGUGGAAAUCUCCCGGUUACAGCCUUUAAAAACAUCAGGAACUUGAGUUUGCUUGGCAGCGGAUUUCUCCCUGUCUCAUCAAUAUUUGCACUUCCUCAUCUGAAGUUCCUAGAUCUCUCAUACAAUAAUUUUGAAGGAGGUUUUCCUGUUAAUUUCUCUUUGGAACCAGUUUCACUUGAAGUCUUAAAUCUCGAAAGUAAUAACAUGAGUGGAGCUCUUCCGACCGAACGAGCAUUUGAAAAUCUCCGGAACCUACGGCAUUUGUAUUUGAGUUACAACCAGUUCAGCGGAAGCAUUCCAACAUUAGCAUUUGAAAAUCUCCAGAACCUGCGAGAAUUGUCUUUGGGUUCCAAUCAAUUCAAUGGAAACAUUCCAGCAUUAUUGUUUUCUCUACCACAUAUUGAACUGCUGAAUCUCUCAUCAAACUUCUUCAGCGGACCAAUUCCUAUAAAUCCAUCUUUGAAUAUUUCAUUGUCACUUAAGAGUCUUCAGUUUUCCCAAAACAAUUUGAGUGGUAGGCUUUCUUUCACUUGGCUUGGAAGCCUCACAAAGCUAGAAGUAAUAGACCUUUCAGGCAAUGCUAACCUAGUUGUUGAUGUCAAUAUUCUUGGCGGGACACCUCCUUUCCAGUUGAAACAGCUAUUGCUCUCUGGUUGUGAUCUUGACAAGAGGAUUAUUGCAGAACCACGGUUUUUACGCAUGCAACGUCAUUUAGAGGUGCUUGACUUGUCCAACAAUAACUUGUCAGGUAGCAUGCCAAAUUGGUUGUUUACAAAGGAAGCAACACUACAAGAACUGCAUCUUGGAAAUAACUCGCUAACUGGAUCGCUACACCCAAUAUGGCAUACCCAAUCUUCUCUCCAGAUUAUCGACUUACACAUGAACCAUAUCACAGGACAGAUGCCAGCCAACAUCAGUUCAAUGUUUCCAGCGUUGGAUGUUCUGGAUUUUUCUAAUAACAACUUCUUUGGGCACAUACCAACUUCGUUGUGUGAGAUCCGGAUCAUGGUAAUUUUAGACCUAUCAAAGAACAAUUUUUCUGGGGAAGUUCCAGCUUGUGUGUUCACUAAUUAUCCCUUACUAAUGACCUUAAAGGUCUCAAACAACAAGCUUGGUGGUCUGAUUUUUGGUGGGAUGAAUAACCUGUCCAUUAUGUUGGAACUAUACCUGGAUGGUAACAAAUUCGAAGGGACAGUGCCUCGUAAUCUCUCAGGAGGGCUUUUAAAGGUCAUUGAUUUGCAUGAUAACGAGUUAUCUGGCAAACUUGAUACAUCAUUGUGGAAUAUGUCUUCGUUGAAAGUCCUGAAUCUUGCUGGCAACCGUAUAACCGGCAAAAUUCAUCCACAAAUUUGUGGCCUCACAAGCCUUGAACUUUUAGAUAUAUCAAGCAAUAAUCUUACAGGGUCCGUACCGAACUGCAGCUGCAUGUUGCUCCACUUCCUUAACCUCUCUGGGAAUUCCUUAUCUAGCCAUAUCUCUUAUCCCUUCUUCAACAUAUCAAGUCUGAUUUCUUUGGAUAUCAGAAACAAUCAGUUCGCAGGCAACCUCCAUUGGAUACGUUAUCUUGAUAACAUUAGGCUGCUUUCCUUGGGCGGAAAUGAGUUUGAAGGGCAGAUCACUCCAAACUUGUGUGAACUCCUGCACUUGAGGAUAAUUGACUUGUCUCAUAACAAGCUUUCAGGUUCAUUACCCUCAUGUAUUGGUAAUUUCUUUUUCAAAGGUGACACGGACGAUCAAAUGUUUCAUUCAGUAUAUGGGGGUUCAUUGGACUCACUUGGCAGUCCUUAUGACUUGAGAGGCUUCAGCUUUACUACCAAAGGGAAUCUGUACACAUAUGGUCAAAGUUUCUUCGUUUCAAUGUCCGGCAUUGACCUAUCUGCGAACAUGCUGCAUGGAGAAAUUCCUUGGGAGCUAGGAAAUAUGAGCCAUAUAAAAUCCCUUAACCUGUCAUACAAUUCCUUUGUUGGCCCGAUACCGACCACCUUUGGCGGCAUGGAGGAGAUAGAAAGUUUGGACCUCUCACACAAUGAGCUGAGUGGACCAGUACCUUGGCAGCUAACGCGGUUAUGUUCAUUGGGGGUGUUCUCUGUGGCAUACAACAACUUGUCAGGAUGUAUACCGAACUCUGGUCAGCUUGGCUCAUUCGGCAUGGACAGCUACCUAGCCAACACCAACCUCCACAUGAUUACACAGGGGAACAUGUGCACUCCUGGUCCAGAUCCCGUGGCGGAGGAAGAUGUGGGUGAGACGUCUGGUGACCCAAUCCUAUACAUCGUCAUGGCUGCCGGGUUUAUUUUGGCAUUCUGGGCCACCGUUGCCUUUUCAUUAUUCCAUCCGUACGGGAGGUCUGUAAUAUUCAAGCUGUAG
RNAcentral lists this ribosomal RNA (3111 nucleotides) under Triticum aestivum (bread wheat). Its description in RNAcentral is "partial small subunit ribosomal RNA". The record is from RNAcentral. Lineage: Eukaryota; Viridiplantae; Streptophyta; Magnoliopsida; Poales; Poaceae.